RNAcentral lists this ribosomal RNA (245 nucleotides) under uncultured bacterium. Its description in RNAcentral is "partial 16S ribosomal RNA". It matches the Rfam family "Bacterial small subunit ribosomal RNA", at positions 524 to 768 of the family's 1533-position model. The record is from RNAcentral.
UACGGAGGAUGCAAGCGUUAUCCGGAAUCAUUGGGCGUAAAGAGUUCGUAGGUGGCUUAUCAAGUCUGUCGUGAAAGGUUGGGGCUUAACCCCAAAAAUGCGAUGGAAACUGUUAGGCUUGAGUACGGUAGGGGCAGAGGGAAUUCCUGGUGUAGCGGUGAAAUGCGUAGAUAUCAGGAAGAACACCGAUGGCGAAAGCACUCUGCUGGGCCGUUACUGACACUGAGGAACGAAAGCUAGGGGAG